RNAcentral lists this non-coding RNA (28 nucleotides) under Mus musculus (house mouse). Lineage: Eukaryota; Metazoa; Chordata; Mammalia; Rodentia; Muridae. The record is from RNAcentral.
UCCUUGAAGGGAUUUCUUGGGUAGAUGC